AACGAACGCUGGCGGCAUGCCUAACACAUGCAAGUCGAACAAGACCUUCGGGUCUAGUGGCGCACGGGUACGUAACGCGUGGGAACCUGCCCUUAGGUUCGGAAUAACUCCCCGAAAGGGGUGCUAAUACCGGAUAAUGUCUUCGGACCAAAGAUUUAUCGCCUUUGGAUGGGCCCGCGUUGGAUUAGCUAGUUGGUAGGGUAAAAGCCUACCAAGGCGACGAUCCAUAGCUGGUCUGAGAGGAUGAUCAGCCACACUGGGACUGAGACACGGCCCAGACUCCUACGGGAGGCAGCAGUGGGGAAUAUUGGACAAUGGGCGAAAGCCUGAUCCAGCAAUGCCGCGUGAGUGAUGAAGGCCUUAGGGUUGUAAAGCUCUUUUACCCGGGAUGAUAAUGACAGUACCGGGAGAAUAAGCUCCGGCUAACCCCGUG
Molecule: ribosomal RNA, 433 nt
Filed under: uncultured bacterium
Lineage: Bacteria
Description: partial 16S ribosomal RNA
Rfam family: Bacterial small subunit ribosomal RNA
Source: RNAcentral